UAACUCCUCCUACCUCCUCCAGUCCUCACUCCUUCUGAACUCCGAACAUACGCCUUCUUCUUCACCACACCAUCGCCGCACUCCUCUCUCACACACGCCGCCGCACGACGUCACACUCCUCUCCUCGCCGCUCGCUCGCCGCACGAAGCCGUCCAGAUCUGACGCAGUCCAACACCGCAGCUCGCCGCGCCGUCCAGCCAGUCGCGUCGUCGUCGUCCAGCCCUCCAGCCGUGCCGUUGCCGUCGCCGUCGCCGUCUACCUCCUCCAGCCGCGUCCAACAGGUAAUAUUCAUUUUUUUUCGGUUUUUAAUUUCAUUUAAUUUAAUAAUGCACAAUCGCUUUACACCUUGAAUAUUAAUUUUAUUUAUGUAAUGUGAGUUAUGUGUGUACAAGGAAUACCCCCUAUGAGCAAACUACUGAACCAUUCUGAUGGUUGGGUGACAGUACUAUGUAAGAAACUCACAGUUUGGUGGCCAUGGGUUAGCCAUUCCAGGACCAGUGGAUUAAGCAAAGCUGUUAAGAAUAAACUCACAAUGUGGAUGAUGUGGCAAGGGGAUGCCAAGUUAGUACAAUUGUGAUUGAUGAAGCUGCUUGCCAUGUGAUUUUGCAUCCUUCAUCUGAUUGACUGGUCACUUGGUUGCUUGACUAUUUCUCAUUGGUUGUUCCUUACACCCUUUUUGUCAUUGUCAAAAAUUAUUCUAUCUACAUUUGCAGAAGGAAAAUCUGUGCAAGAGAUGGUUCAUGAAGCUCUGCAACAUGUUCCUAAUACUAGUGGUAAUGAGUAACAUUGUGGAAGCGGCACUUGGAUCUUCUUUCGUAGGUAAUGAGCAACAUUUUGGAUUCGCUUGUCUAUUGGGAUUUAUGUUUUGUAUUAGUAGGAUGUUAGCUACCAACUCUUAAGUUUAUAAUUUAGAUAUGCUAAUCAACUCCAAUUUAGAGGAGGAUAUUAGUUAGCCACCCCACAAUAUUAGUGGGUUUUUUUUUUUUUGAGUGA
Long non-coding RNA from Ipomoea triloba (trilobed morning glory), 993 nucleotides. RefSeq lists it as uncharacterized. The transcript is spliced from 3 exons. The record is from RefSeq and is a predicted model, not a curated record. Lineage: Eukaryota; Viridiplantae; Streptophyta; Magnoliopsida; Solanales; Convolvulaceae.